RNAcentral lists this ribosomal RNA (403 nucleotides) under uncultured bacterium. RNAcentral's name for it is "bacterial SSU rRNA". It matches the Rfam family "Bacterial small subunit ribosomal RNA", at positions 355 to 775 of the family's 1533-position model. The record is from RNAcentral.
UGGGGAAUUUUGCGCAAUGGGGGAAACCCUGACGCAGCAACGCCGCGUGGAGGAUGAAGUCCCUUGGGACGUAAACUCCUUUCGAUCGGGACGAUUAUGACGGUACCGGAAGAAGAAGCCCCGGCUAACUUCGUGCCAGCAGCCGCGGUAAUACGAGGGGGGCGAGCGUUGUUCGGAAUUAUUGGGCGUAAAGGGCGCGUAGGCGGUCGGAUAAGUCUUGUGUGAAAUCUUCGGGCUCAACUCGAAGUCUGCACAGGAAACUAUCUGGCUUGAGUGUGGGAGAGGUGAGUGGAAUUCCUGGUGUAGCGGUGAAAUGCGUAGAUAUCAGGAGGAACACCUGUGGCGAAAGCGGCUCACUGGACCACAACUGACGCUGAGGCGCGAAAGCUAGGGGAGCAAACAG